This is a long non-coding RNA of Salvia splendens (bonfire salvia), 694 nucleotides long. RefSeq lists it as uncharacterized. The record is from RefSeq and is a predicted model, not a curated record. Lineage: Eukaryota; Viridiplantae; Streptophyta; Magnoliopsida; Lamiales; Lamiaceae. The transcript is spliced from 4 exons.
UAUUUCUCCUCUGUAAUCUGCAAAUAAAAUACCAAAUAAAUUCAAAUAAGAAAAAAAAGAGGAUUUCGAAAUUUCUCUCCUUUCCCACUACUAAAAACCGUCCCUCCAUCUCUCCCACAAAUCUCUCCCGUAUCUCAACUUCCUUUCCCCUAUAUUAAAUCUUCAACCAUUACUUUUUCCUCACCUAUCGUCUCUGCAAGCAAGAAUCAUCCUUCAACUUCUACUCAAGUAACCAAAAUCCUCCAGCUUCAAGAACCAUUUUUUUUUCUUCCUCAACAUCCGUCUGCAAUUGACGGUGAGACUUCGCAAGGGAAUCGAGAUACCAAAGGGAAGGAAGUGUAGAGAAUUAUUCAAUUGAGGUUGAGCGGCGACGAGAGUACGGUGGUGUUGAGCAAGUAAAUUGGUAAAUGAACUGUUGUUUUUGAAUUAUGGGUGUCGUUGUGUCUUCACACAUGACGUCACUCUUACUCUUGAUCGUUUCCGCUGUGACAUUUCUUUCACUUAUCGUUUAUUGGGCUUGCAACCUGAAUUAUUUGGAUAUUGAAUAUUUUGGGAUUUUACUAAUUUAUGUCAAAUUCUUGGUCGUUUUAUUUGAAUAUUAAUUGUUGGUCAAGCUCGUUAUUAAAACCCUAGUCCUUUUCGUCUUUUUAUUAAAUUCUCUUAAUCACGAUCGCCCAUAUUUAUUAACCCUAAA